GGAUAAACUAAGUAAGGAAAGGAAAGAAUAUAUAUCUGUGUAGAGUCCAGGGUGUGGCAAGAGUCCUUUGUCACUAUUUGCAAGUUUUGUUAUUUGGAUAUUUCAAAACUACACAUAUAUACAAUUACAUAGUUUGUGUAGUGUUUUUUUAAAAGAAGAAAAAGAUGACAAUGUAGCAUAGUAAAUUCUCACCUACACAAUAUUAAUUUACUAAGAAAUAAAAUUGAAUUUUUUGAUGUAUAUAGCAUACAGUAGAGUCUCACUUAUCCAAGAUAAAUGGGCCGGCAGAACAUUGGAAAAGUGAAAAUCUUGGAUAAUAAGGAGGGAUUAAGAAAAAAGCCUAUUAAACAUAAAAUUACAUUAUGAUUUUACAAAUUAAGCACCAAAACAUCAUGUUUUACAAGAAAUUCACAGAAAUAAUAACUAUAACACAUAUAAGGCUUUUCUUCCCCCUCAAUUCCCUUCCUCUUCCUUGGUGACAUAGUAGACAUUUAUUUAGUUCUAAUCUACUAACCAGAGCUCCACUACCCUCACCUUUUUUUUGUUUGUUCCUUGUGUGAUUUUAUUUUGGAAAUGCUUAAUAAAAGUUUAUGCAAAAAAAGAAAGAAAAAAGAAACAACUAUCCACCAAAGUGAGGUUUUUUUUAUAUCCGCAAAAUUAUCCAGAUUUAAACUCAAUUCUUACCCUAUCAAACCUUUCUAGUGCACAGUAACAGCAACAGUAUAAAGCAAUGUAGACUUCUUUCUAGCAAAAGGACGUGUAUUUUAACUGGCAUGUUCAAUGUGCAUUGUAGCACUAUUGUUAUUCAGAUUUAGUCACAAUAUGACGAAACUAUAAGUGUUCAAUUAAACCACUGUCUUCCAGAAACCUCUGCAGAGAAGGGGAAUAAUAUCUGAUCGCUGUGUUAAUCAUUUGCUAAAGUAUAAACAAACCUAUUAGAUAUUAUCCUUCUGCUAUUUCCACAACUAAGGAAAGUCUUCUCAGAAGGAAAAGUGUGCUUAGCAAAAUUCAGAGAAGGAAACUACAUAACGCUUCAGGCCUAGAAACAAUGUCUUCUGCAACCAUAACUGCUUCUCAACAUUUGGAAGACCUGAAAACUCGGAUUCUGACAAAUGACUGGGCUCUCGCGGGACUGGUGGUGAUAGCUUCGUUUAUCACUGUCAUCAUCGCCCUCCUCUUAUUUGCCAUUGUCUUUGGCUGUUGCUCACCUUCAAGGAAUAAAGCAGGUUCCAUAUAAACAGCAAAUAACCGUCUGCUCUGGGGAAUUUCAAGAGUGCUACAUUGUGACCAAGAAGUGAAAAGUACUGUUGUUUCUUGUCACCCUUAUUUCACUUAAGUGGGCAUUACCGUUAACAAUGGCAUAUAACUGAUGUCAAAUGGAAUUGGAAUUAAAAAGCCAUGUGCUGACAAGUCUCUGACUUAAUACUAGGCCUUUUUUUAGCAAGACACUUGUAAAUAAAUGCCUUUUUAUAAGAAUUGUGAAUUUUAAAUAUUUGAAAAUAAAUAAUAAAUUGAAUUUCAUGCCGUAAAAUGUA
This is a long non-coding RNA of Anolis carolinensis (green anole), 1535 nucleotides long. RefSeq lists it as uncharacterized. The record is from RefSeq and is a predicted model, not a curated record. Lineage: Eukaryota; Metazoa; Chordata; Lepidosauria; Squamata; Anolidae. The transcript has 2 exons.